CAACAUGAACAUCUGUGCCAGGACUGGAGAAGGAGCUGUGGUGUGCUAGAAAUGGAUGAUGGAGACAGGCAGAAUGAGAAUGGAAGAAAAAUAGAUAGAAAAAUAUAUAAUUGUAUCAAGCCCAUGAAGCUAAGUAAAGCAUGGUGAAGGGAUUAAGGUCAGGGGAGAGUGCUAUUUCAGAUGGCCAAAGGAGAAGAAGGCCUAUCUGCAAAAGUAACACUUGAGUGAAGACCUGAAAGGAAGAAAGGAGCCACAAGAAGAACAGAAGGAAGAGUAUUUCAGGCAGAGGACAAUACAUAUAAAGGCUAAGACUACAGAGGCCAGGAGUGAAAAAUGAAGACACCAACUAAAAGGCUACUGCAACUGACCAGGCAAGAGCUGUUGCAGGCCUGGAAUAGAACGGUGGUGGUGGGGUGGUGAGAAAUGGUUGAGAUUCCUGAUAUAUUCUCUAAGUUUCAGUGCAAAGACAGGAUGUGAAAGCAGGGAGAGAAUUAAAGACAUCUCCAAGGCUUCUGGUCCAAGCAACUAGAAAAAUGGAAUUGUUAUGAACUGAAAUGAGGCUGACUGAGAAACAGAUAAAGGAGUAAAAUUACUGACAUGCUGAAGAGCCAACUCGACGAAACAUGCAAAGAAAUUCUAGGAAUGCAGCUUGAUCAACAGUGUUCCAAAGAAACAUCAACAUAAAACUAUUUGUGAAGAAACAAAUACAAUGUUUAAAGAAGGUAUCUGAAGGAAACCACGCUCCUUGGAGAAAUGGUGUUUCCAAGUCUUGGCAGAAAAAUACAAGGUGAAAGGGGAACAUCUUACUGUGUCAGAAAGCAAAAAAGCUAUCAAAGAUUAGGUUGUGUCAAAGGAUGUAGAAGUCAGCUUAACGGUUUCCCACUGAUCAAAGAUGAACAACUUGGGCAUCAAAGAGAAUGGCAGAUUGAAACACAAACAUUAUAAAAAUUCAAGGCUGGGUGUGGUGGCCUCAUACCUGUAAUCCCAGC
RNAcentral lists this long non-coding RNA (989 nucleotides) under Homo sapiens (human). RNAcentral describes it as "HSALNT0358110". Lineage: Eukaryota; Metazoa; Chordata; Mammalia; Primates; Hominidae. The record is from RNAcentral.